RNAcentral lists this ribosomal RNA (484 nucleotides) under uncultured bacterium. RNAcentral describes it as "partial 16S ribosomal RNA". It matches the Rfam family "Bacterial small subunit ribosomal RNA", at positions 30 to 507 of the family's 1533-position model. The record is from RNAcentral.
AUUGAACGCUGGCGGCAGGCCUAACACAUGCAAGUCGAGCGGACGAAGGGAGCUUGCUCCUGGAUUCAGCGGCGGACGGGUGAGUAAUGCCUAGGAAUCUGCCUGGUAGUGGGGGAUAACGUCCGGAAACGGGCGCUAAUACCGCAUACGUCCUGAGGGAGAAAGUGGGGGAUCUUCGGACCUCACGCUAUCAGAUGAGCCUAGGUCGGAUUAGCUAGUUGGUGGGGUAAAGGCCUACCAAGGCGACGAUCCGUAACUGGUCUGAGAGGAUGAUCAGUCACACUGGAACUGAGACACGGUCCAGACUCCUACGGGAGGCAGCAGUGGGGAAUAUUGGACAAUGGGCGAAAGCCUGAUCCAGCCAUGCCGCGUGUGUUAAGAAGGUCUUCGGAUUGUAAAGCACUUUAAGUUGGGAGGAAGGGCAGUAAGUUAAUACCUUGCUGUUUUGACGUUACCAACAGAAUAAGCACCGGCUAACUUCGUG